RNAcentral lists this transfer RNA (62 nucleotides) under Mengenilla moldrzyki. Its description in RNAcentral is "tRNA-Val". Lineage: Eukaryota; Metazoa; Arthropoda; Insecta; Strepsiptera; Mengenillidae. The record is from RNAcentral.
UAAAUUAUAGCUAUAAAUAAGUAUUUUAUUUACAUUAAAAUGAAAGAUGAAUCUUAAUUUAA